GCCGGAAUAGCUCAGCUGGUAGAGCGGCGCAUUCGUAAUGCGUAGGUCGUAGGUUCGAAUCCUAUUUCCGGCACCA
This 76-nucleotide transfer RNA is filed under the name Lysobacter sp. Its description in RNAcentral is "tRNA-Thr". It matches the Rfam family "tRNA". Rfam says of the family: Transfer RNA (tRNA) molecules are approximately 80 nucleotides in length. Their secondary structure includes four short double-helical elements and three loops (D, anti-codon, and T loops). RNAcentral also lists the same sequence under 14 other names. Lineage: Bacteria; Pseudomonadati; Pseudomonadota; Gammaproteobacteria; Lysobacterales; Lysobacteraceae. The record is from RNAcentral.